Molecule: long non-coding RNA, 1001 nt
Filed under: Monodelphis domestica (gray short-tailed opossum)
Lineage: Eukaryota; Metazoa; Chordata; Mammalia; Didelphimorphia; Didelphidae
Description: lncRNA (ENSMODG00000021231.2)
Source: RNAcentral
UGAUAAAUUUGGGGUCUUUUUAAUAACUAAUUUUUCUAAUUACAUGUAAUUUUUAAUAUUUUUCAAAUUUUGAGUUCCAAAUUCUCUCUUUAUAUCUAGAUGACCAACAGUUUGAUAUAGGUUAUAUAUGUGCAAUCAUGCAAAACACAUAUCCAUAUUAGUCAUGUUGUGAAGGAAAACAGAGACAAAACACAUUUUUAAAAAAACAGAAAAAUAUGUAUUAUUCAAUCUACAUUCAGGUUGCAUCAGUUCUUUCUCUGGAGACAGAUAGCAUUUUUCAUCUCUAUGAUGAAUUUGUGAGAUAGCCGAGAAUAUGGAUUGAUAGGAAGUAUUUUCUCCUGGGAAAUCAUGAAGAAUGUAUGUAAUUUAUCUGGCAUCCAACAAGAAUCUAUAACAGAGAGAAAAAAACUCUUAUAAAAUAUUCUGGCCACUUAAGAGAAAUAGAUCUUGGCAAUAAUGUUCUGGGAGAAAUUGCUGCUACUAAUAUACUGGAAGCACUAAAGGAACGAAAGAAAGCCAAACUGCCAAACUUACAUAUUAUAGUCACCCCACAGAUCUCUUCAGAUACUUUCAGGUCCAUCUGGAAAAACAACAGAAACUCUGGCUCUGUCCAAAAGAAAAAGAAGGCCAAAAACUGAAUAUAUAUUCCAUUUAUUCCUGUGGACAAAUGGUUUGGAUAUGAAGACAAUGUCACUGAGAAAUAAUAUUGUCAAAUAGUCAUUUCACUAAUGUGCAAAGUAUUCUUAUAUUACAUUUUUUACUUUUUUAAAAGAUAAUUUAUUUUACCAAUUACAUGUACUAACAAGUUUCCAUAUAAGGUUUCUGAAGUUAUAAAAUACAAAUUGUCUCCUCUUCUUCCUGGAGAUGGUAAUCAACUUGAUCUGGAUUAUGUAUGUAUCAUCAUGUAAAACCUAUUUCCAUACUGUUCAUUGUUUUAAAGAAUACUCAUAUAAAACCAAAACUCCAAAAUAAAAAGUCAAAUAAAUUAAAGUGAAAAAUCA